GGACCCAUAGCUCAGCGGUGAGAGCAGCCCGCUCAUAACGGGUUGGUCGCAGGUUCGAAUCCUGCUGGGUCCA
This 73-nucleotide transfer RNA is filed under the name Ktedonobacteraceae bacterium. RNAcentral describes it as "tRNA-Ile". It matches the Rfam family "tRNA". Rfam says of the family: Transfer RNA (tRNA) molecules are approximately 80 nucleotides in length. The record is from RNAcentral. Lineage: Bacteria; Bacillati; Chloroflexota; Ktedonobacteria; Ktedonobacterales; Ktedonobacteraceae.